Molecule: ribosomal RNA, 2678 nt
Filed under: Shigella flexneri
Lineage: Bacteria; Pseudomonadati; Pseudomonadota; Gammaproteobacteria; Enterobacterales; Enterobacteriaceae
Description: partial 23S ribosomal RNA
Rfam family: Bacterial large subunit ribosomal RNA
Source: RNAcentral
ACCGAGAUUCCCCCAGUAGCGGCGAGCGAACGGGGAGCAGCCCAGAGCCUGAAUCAGUGUGUGUGUUAGUGGAAGCGUCUGGAAAGGCGUGCGAUACAGGGUGACAGCCCCGUACACAAAAAUGCACAUACUGUGAGCUCGAUGAGUAGGGCGGGACACGUGGUAUCCUGUCUGAAUAUGGGGGGACCAUCCUCCAAGGCUAAAUACUCCUGACUGACCGAUAGUGAACCAGUACCGUGAGGGAAAGGCGAAAAGAACCCCGGCGAGGGGAGUGAAAAAGAACCUGAAACCGUGUACGUACAAGCAGUGGGAGCACGCUUAGGCGUGUGACUGCGUACCUUUUGUAUAAUGGGUCAGCGACUUAUAUUCUGUAGCAAGGUUAACCGAAUAGGGGAGCCGAAGGGAAACCGAGUCUUAACUGGGCGUUAAGUUGCAGGGUAUAGACCCGAAACCCGGUGAUCUAGCCAUGGGCAGGUUGAAGGUUGGGUAACACUAACUGGAGGACCGAACCGACUAAUGUUGAAAAAUUAGCGGAUGACUUGUGGCUGGGGGUGAAAGGCCAAUCAAACCGGGAGAUAGCUGGUUCUCCCCGAAAGCUAUUUAGGUAGCGCCUCGUGAAUUCAUCUCCGGGGGUAGAGCACUGUUUCGGCAAGGGGGUCAUCCCGACUUACCAACCCGAUGCAAACUGCGAAUACCGGAGAAUGUUAUCACGGGAGACACACGGCGGGUGCUAACGUCCGUCGUGAAGAGGGAAACAACCCAGACCGCCAGCUAAGGUCCCAAAGUCAUGGUUAAGUGGGAAACGAUGUGGGAAGGCCCAGACAGCCAGGAUGUUGGCUUAGAAGCAGCCAUCAUUUAAAGAAAGCGUAAUAGCUCACUGGUCGAGUCGGCCUGCGCGGAAGAUGUAACGGGGCUAAACCAUGCACCGAAGCUGCGGCAGCGACGCUUAUGCGUUGUUGGGUAGGGGAGCGUUCUGUAAGCCUGUGAAGGUGUGCUGUGAGGUAUGCUGGAGGUAUCAGAAGUGCGAAUGCUGACAUAAGUAACGAUAAAGCGGGUGAAAAGCCCGCUCGCCGGAAGACCAAGGGUUCCUGUCCAACGUUAAUCGGGGCAGGGUGAGUCGACCCCUAAGGCGAGGCCGAAAGGCGUAGUCGAUGGGAAACAGGUUAAUAUUCCUGUACUUGGUGUUACUGCGAAGGGGGGACGGAGAAGGCUAUGUUGGCCGGGCGACGGUUGUCCCGGUUUAAGCGUGUAGGCUGGUUUUCCAGGCAAAUCCGGAAAAUCAAGGCCGAGGCGUGAUGACGAGGCACUACGGUGCUGAAGCAACAAAUGCCCUGCUUCCAGGAAAAGCCUCUAAGCAUCAGGUAACAUCAAAUCGUACCCCAAACCGACACAGGUGGUCAGGUAGAGAAUACCAAGGCGCUUGAGAGAACUCGGGUGAAGGAACUAGGCAAAAUGGUGCCGUAACUUCGGGAGAAGGCACGCUGAUACGUAGGUGAAGCGACUUGCUCGUGGAGCUGAAAUCAGUCGAAGAUACCAGCUGGCUGCAACUGUUUAUUAAAAACACAGCACUGUGCAAACACGAAAGUGGACGUAUACGGUGUGACGCCUGCCCGGUGCCGGAAGGUUAAUUGAUGGGGUUAGCGCAAGCGAAGCUCUUGAUCGAAGCCCCGGUAAACGGCGGCCGUAACUAUAACGGUCCUAAGGUAGCGAAAUUCCUUGUCGGGUAAGUUCCGACCUGCACGAAUGGCGUAAUGAUGGCCAGGCUGUCUCCACCCGAGACUCAGUGAAAUUGAACUCGCUGUGAAGAUGCAGUGUACCCGCGGCAAGACGGAAAGACCCCGUGAACCUUUACUAUAGCUUGACACUGAACAUUGAGCCUUGAUGUGUAGGAUAGGUGGGAGGCUUUGAAGUGUGGACGCCAGUCUGCAUGGAGCCGACCUUGAAAUACCACCCUUUAAUGUUUGAUGUUCUAACGUGGACCCGUGAUCCGGGUUGCGGACAGUGUCUGGUGGGUAGUUUGACUGGGGCGGUCUCCUCCUAAAGAGUAACGGAGGAGCACGAAGGUUGGCUAAUCCUGGUCGGACAUCAGGAGGUUAGUGCAAUGGCAUAAGCCAGCUUGACUGCGAGCGUGACGGCGCGAGCAGGUGCGAAAGCAGGUCAUAGUGAUCCGGUGGUUCUGAAUGGAAGGGCCAUCGCUCAACGGAUAAAAGGUACUCCGGGGAUAACAGGCUGAUACCGCCCAAGAGUUCAUAUCGACGGCGGUGUUUGGCACCUCGAUGUCGGCUCAUCACAUCCUGGGGCUGAAGUAGGUCCCAAGGGUAUGGCUGUUCGCCAUUUAAAGUGGUACGCGAGCUGGGUUUAGAACGUCGUGAGACAGUUCGGUCCCUAUCUGCCGUGGGCGCUGGAGAACUGAGGGGGGCUGCUCCUAGUACGAGAGGACCGGAGUGGACGCAUCACUGGUGUUCGGGUUGUCAUGCCAAUGGCACUGCCCGGUAGCUAAAUGCGGAAGAGAUAAGUGCUGAAAGCAUCUAAGCACGAAACUUGCCCCGAGAUGAGUUCUCCCUGACCCUUUAAGGGUCCUGAAGGAACGUUGAAGACGACGACGUUGAUAGGCCGGGUGUGUAAGCGCAGCGAUGCGUUGAGCUAACCGGUACUAAUGAACCGUGAGGCUUAACCUU